RNAcentral lists this ribosomal RNA (1450 nucleotides) under Salmonella enterica. Its description in RNAcentral is "partial 23S ribosomal RNA". It matches the Rfam family "Bacterial large subunit ribosomal RNA", at positions 711 to 2141 of the family's 2925-position model. RNAcentral also lists the same sequence under 1 other name. The record is from RNAcentral. Lineage: Bacteria; Pseudomonadati; Pseudomonadota; Gammaproteobacteria; Enterobacterales; Enterobacteriaceae.
AGACCCGAAACCCGGUGAUCUAGCCAUGGGCAGGUUGAAGGUUGGGUAACACUAACUGGAGGACCGAACCGACUAAUGUUGAAAAAUUAGCGGAUGACCUGUGGCUGGGGGUGAAAGGCCAAUCAAACCGGGAGAUAGCUGGUUCUCCCCGAAAGCUAUUUAGGUAGCGCCUCGUGAAUUCAUCUCCGGGGGUAGAGCACUGUUUCGGCUAGGGGGCCAUCCCGGCUUACCAACCCGAUGCAAACUGCGAAUACCGGAGAAUGUUAUCACGGGAGACACACGGCGGGUGCUAACGUCCGUCGUGAAGAGGGAAACAACCCAGACCGCCAGCUAAGGUCCCAAAGUCAUGGUUAAGUGGGAAACGAUGUGGGAAGGCCCAGACAGCCAGGAUGUUGGCUUAGAAGCAGCCAUCAUUUAAAGAAAGCGUAAUAGCUCACUGGUCGAGUCGGCCUGCGCGGAAGAUGUAACGGGGCUAAACCAUGCACCGAAGCUGCGGCAGCGACGCUUAUGCGUUGUUGGGUAGGGGAGCGUUCUGUAAGCCUGUGAAGGUGGCCUGUGAGGGUUGCUGGAGGUAUCAGAAGUGCGAAUGCUGACAUAAGUAACGAUAAAGCGGGUGAAAAGCCCGCUCGCCGGAAGACCAAGGGUUCCUGUCCAACGUUAAUCGGGGCAGGGUGAGUCGACCCCUAAGGCGAGGCCGAAAGGCGUAGUCGAUGGGAAACGGGUUAAUAUUCCCGUACUUGGUGUUACUGCGAAGGGGGGACGGAGAAGGCUAUGUUGGCCGGGCGACGGUUGUCCCGGUUUAAGCGUGUAGGUGUGUGUUCCAGGUAAAUCCGGUUCACUUUAACACUGAGGCGUGAUGACGAGGCACUACGGUGCUGAAGUAACAAAUGCCCUGCUUCCAGGAAAAGCCUCUAAGCAUCAGGUAACAUCAAAUCGUACCCCAAACCGACACAGGUGGUCAGGUAGAGAAUACCAAGGCGCUUGAGAGAACUCGGGUGAAGGAACUAGGCAAAAUGGUGCCGUAACUUCGGGAGAAGGCACGCUGACACGUAGGUGAAGUGAUUUACUCACGGAGCUGAAGUCAGUCGAAGAUACCAGCUGGCUGCAACUGUUUAUUAAAAACACAGCACUGUGCAAACACGAAAGUGGACGUAUACGGUGUGACGCCUGCCCGGUGCCGGAAGGUUAAUUGAUGGGGUCAGCGCAAGCGAAGCUCCUGAUCGAAGCCCCGGUAAACGGCGGCCGUAACUAUAACGGUCCUAAGGUAGCGAAAUUCCUUGUCGGGUAAGUUCCGACCUGCACGAAUGGCGUAAUGAUGGCCAGGCUGUCUCCACCCGAGACUCAGUGAAAUUGAACUCGCUGUGAAGAUGCAGUGUACCCGCGGCAAGACGGAAAGACCCCGUGAACCUUUACUAUAGCUUGACACUGAACAUUGAGCCUUGAUGUGUAG